Molecule: long non-coding RNA, 157 nt
Organism: Haliotis rufescens (red abalone)
Lineage: Eukaryota; Metazoa; Mollusca; Gastropoda; Lepetellida; Haliotidae
Exons: 3
Source: RefSeq, a predicted model, not a curated record
UGUGUAUUGAGGAUUUCAUUAUCCAGAAUGAUGUGACCGUAAACAACCUUGAACGUUGCUGCGAACCACUGAGUUAAGCUCAUUGCCACACAGUGGGUUUACUAUGAUUAUUAUCUACUCUCUGAAUAAAGAUGGUUGUCAUGUGAACUGACAAGUA